RNAcentral lists this unclassified non-coding RNA (382 nucleotides) under uncultured Alphaproteobacteria bacterium. RNAcentral describes it as "contains 16S-23S intergenic spacer region". Lineage: Bacteria; Pseudomonadati; Pseudomonadota; Alphaproteobacteria. The record is from RNAcentral.
UCCAGUUUAUCACUGGCAGUCUCUUCAAAGUUCUCAGCAUUAUCUGUUAGCAACUAAAGAUAGGGGUUGCGCCCGUUAAAGGACUUAACCCAACAUCUCACGACACGAGCUGACGACAGCCAUGCACCACCUGUGCGAAGUCCGGCCGAACCGAAGGACCUGAUCUCUCAGGCCCGCGACUUCCAUGUCAAGAGCUGGUAAGGUUUUUCGCGGAUUAUCGAAUUAAACCACAUGCUCCACCGCUUGUGCGGGUCCCCGUCAAUUCCUUUGAGUUUUAGUCUUGCGACCGUACUCCCCAGGCGGAUUGCUUAACGCGUUAGCUGCAACACCGAAGACUAUUCAUCUCCGACGUUUAGCAAUCAUCGUUUAGGGCGUGGACUAC